GAUGAACGCUAGCGGCAGGCUUAAUACAUGCAAGUCGUGGGGCAGCAGGACUGUAGCAAUACAGUUGCUGGCGACCGGCAAACGGGUGCGGAACACGUACGCAACUUACCCUGAACUGGGGGAUAGCCCGGGGAAACCCGGAUUAAUACCCCGUAAUAUAAUGGAGUGGCAUCACUUUAUUAUUAAAGCUCCGGCGGUUCGGGAUGGGCGUGCGGCUGCUUAGGUAGUUGGUUGAGGUAACGGCUCACCAAGCCUACGAUCAGUAACUGGUGUGAGAGGACGGCCCAUCACACGGGAACUGAGAAACUGCCCCGACUCCUACGGGAGGCAGCAGUAAGGAAUAUUGGGCAAAGGAGGCAACUCUGACCCAGCCAUGCCGCGUGGAAGAUGAAGGCCCUCUGGGUUGUAAUCUUCUUUUAUAGGGGACGAAACCUGUGUAUUCUUACGCAGUUGACGGUACACUAGGAAUAAGCACCGGCUAACUCCGUG
RNAcentral lists this ribosomal RNA (489 nucleotides) under uncultured bacterium. RNAcentral describes it as "partial 16S ribosomal RNA". It matches the Rfam family "Bacterial small subunit ribosomal RNA", at positions 28 to 507 of the family's 1533-position model. The record is from RNAcentral.